GACGAACGCUGGCGGCGUGCCUAAUACAUGCAAGUUGAGCGCUGAAGGUUGGUACUUGUACCAACUGGAUGAGCAGCGAACGGGUGAGUAGCGCGUGGGGAAUCUGCCUUUGAGCGGGGGACAACAUUUGGAAACGAAUGCUAAUACCGCAUAAAAACUUUAAACACAAGUUUUAAGUUUGAAAGAUGCAAUUGCAUCACUCAAAGAUGAUCCCGCGUUGUAUUAGCUAGUUGGUGAGGUAAAGGCUCACCAAGGCGAUGAUACAUAACCGACCUGAGAGGGUGAUCGGCCACAUUGGGACUGAGACACGGCCCAAACUCCUACGGGAGGCAGCAGUAGGGAAUCUUCGGCAAUGGACGAAAGUCUGACCGAGCAACGCCGCGUGAGUGAAGAAGGUUUUCGGAUCGUAAAACUCUGUUGGUAGAGAAGAACGUUGGUGAGAGUGGAAAGCUCAUCAAGUGACGGUAACUACCCAGAAAGGGACGGCUAACUACGUG
This 497-nucleotide ribosomal RNA is filed under the name uncultured bacterium. Its description in RNAcentral is "partial 16S ribosomal RNA". It matches the Rfam family "Bacterial small subunit ribosomal RNA", at positions 28 to 507 of the family's 1533-position model. The record is from RNAcentral.